AAACAGGUGCUAAUACCGGAUAAGAAAGCGGAUCGCAUGAUCAGCUUUUAAAAGGCGGCGUAAGCUGUCGCUAUGGGAUGGCCCCGCGGUGCAUUAGCUAGUUGGUAAGGUAAAGGCUUACCAAGGCGAUGAUGCAUAGCCGAGUUGAGAGACUGAUCGGCCACAUUGGGACUGAGACACGGCCCAAACUCCUACGGGAGGCAGCAGC
Molecule: ribosomal RNA, 208 nt
Filed under: uncultured Lactobacillus sp.
Lineage: Bacteria; Bacillati; Bacillota; Bacilli; Lactobacillales; Lactobacillaceae
Description: partial 16S ribosomal RNA
Rfam family: Bacterial small subunit ribosomal RNA
Source: RNAcentral